ACGGGAGGCAGCAGUGGGGAAUAUUGCACAAUGGGGGAAACCCUGAUGCAGCGACGCCGCGUGAGUGAAGAAGUUAUUCGUAAUGUAAAGCUCUAUCAGCAGGGAAGUAAAUGACGGUACCUGACUAAGAAGCCCCGGCUAACUACGUGCCAGCAGCCGCGGUAAUACGUAGGUGGCAAGCGUUGUCCGGAUUUACCGGGUGUAAAGGGCGUGUAGCCGGGGGAGCAAGUCAGAUGUGAAAUCUAUGGGCUUAACCCAUAAACUGCAUUUGAAACUGUUCUUCUUGAGUGCUGGAGGGGCAAUCGGAAUUCCUUGUGUAGCGGCGAAAUGCGUAGAUAUAAGGAGGAACACCAGUGGCGAAGGCGGAUUGCUGGACAGUAACUGACGGUGAGGCGCGAAAGCGUGGGGAGCAAACAGGAUUAGAUACCCUGGUA
This 434-nucleotide ribosomal RNA is filed under the name uncultured Robinsoniella sp. RNAcentral's name for it is "bacterial SSU rRNA". It matches the Rfam family "Bacterial small subunit ribosomal RNA", at positions 341 to 792 of the family's 1533-position model. The record is from RNAcentral. Lineage: Bacteria; Bacillati; Bacillota; Clostridia; Lachnospirales; Lachnospiraceae.